AGUCAUGGAAAAGGUUUAGUCUCGUUUAGUCGUUUGGAUCUUCUUUCUUUACCGUUGAAAUUAAAACAAAAAAACAAAAAAACAUGGCGAUCGAGAGUCCAUGAUCGAACCACGUUGCGAGUUGCGAGUUGCGACUUGUAAAGAACGCCAUUGAGUGUGAUUGUGUUUUGAGGGAAGAAUAGUUUCCCACAGUUAGUUAGGUUUCAGACCCACAACACCAACGGAGUACCAAUGUUGAUCAAGAACAGAAAACAGGAUUUGCACUAUUGCUUUCAUCUUCAGAUCUUCUCAUGUCUCUUUCUCACACUCUGGAAUAUUUGGGUAAAGACAGCAAUCGGCGCGAAUACUGAUUCAUUGUAAGACGCAGCUAUGGUGAAGAAACUGGCAGCCUGAAAGAAAUUGACGGUGAUGAUUGAUAUGAAGAAACUAUUGCCGUGGAGCCUUAAGAAUUCGUACUACUCGAGAAGCCCUAUCAAUUCGCCCAGUUGAUUAAAGUUUUGGCUACGACGGAAUCUGAAAAGGCCUUUUGUCAAGAGCAAAACGCAACCUGAGCCUACCUGAGACAAGAAAUUCAGUCAGGGGGCUCCCACAAACUAGUUGACAAAUGAACGUCCUAGUUUUUGUCUUAAAAGGUGCUAAUAUUUCGUUAUAAUAUUUAGGCACCAGCAAAUCCUAUCUGGAAUUUUGCUAUAGAUGAGACUAGACUUUCAGACGGUCGUCAACGUUGAGAAAGAAGAAGAAUCUGAAUCCAAAGUAGAUCCAAAAGAACCAACUACUAACGGUAUACCAAAAGAACUUAUUCCACACGCUCCAAGACUAGCAUUAUUGUGGCUUAUCAUUGUUGACUUACGAAUAAUGGUUUUACUGGUGGAGUCAUCAAUGAAGAAAGCAGUGGUACCUCCAGCAAAUCGAAAUAUUCGUUACCAACCGACGUUAUUUUCAAUUUUGGCAUUGGACGGCCGGCACCAGACGUAUAUUAACCAGUACACGAGCAAUCCACUUGUGGCCAGUAAGCACCAGGCAUCGGAGGAGAAACACAGUAAAUGUUACUUGUCGCUCAAGUUUCCCGUUACCAAACCUUUAUCACCUCCAUCAUAUCAAAGGACUAAAGCAUCAGGUGAUGAAAUUCGUCUUUACGGUCAAUUGAGUUCGACCGUAUCACGAUUCACGAAUUGAAACAUCAACAACGAAACAAUUUGAAACAAUCAAGGUACCAUCAAACAGCGAAGUGCGCCGGCUCACUCGGCCCUUGCGGCACUGACGUACUCUUCUUCCUCUGUCGCCGUCGUUCUGUCUCCGUCACUCGGCCGACGGGCGCCAUCCACCAGCAAAACCAACAUAAUCUCGGUCAGCAUUGUGCGCCCCUGUCUCUUAAGAACUAGCGACGUGUUGAACGACAUUGGCAACAUGCUAGCUGACUGACGGACGAAUUGGGCUCUAUGUUGGAAGAGGAAAGCAGUAACCAGCCCAUAAGGCAGAAAUCCUAAAUGGGGGGUCGCAAAAAGCGUUGUUUGUAAUUAUAUAUAUCUUAACCUGGAUUUUUAAACGUUUGCUGAUCCCCUCCUUUCCCUUGGAGUAAGAAAAACGUUCCGGCCUCCACUUUUUGUUCAAUGCCAGGCAGCUGCGUCAAAGUGCCUAGUUCACAAGCAUGAUCCAUUUGGAUUGAUGAAACAGUUGAUGAACAAGUGUUGGAUAUUCCUAUAUUCUUAUUUCUCCCUUUUUCUUCUUCAAUUUAACACUGGUCCAUCUCGAUGGAAAUGAUUUCUUUUACGUUACGUGACGAUUUUAACUAGUGGUAUUUUUUUUUUCUUUCUCCGUCCUUUUUGUUAUUGCCCGCCCAGCCAACUGAUGUACCUAUAUAAUAUUGUAUGGAAUACAUGUACACGUUUAUCGUAUCCCACUUUUGAGCAGAUAAACGGUGUCUGUAAGCCAACUGCACGUUUUUUUUAUUGAAAAACAAAAACAAGCCCUCCUCAAUAAUCGGACUGGUUUGAACCCUUAUAUUUUUCAUCCAAUCUACGCGUUUUGAGUGUUCCUCCCGUCGUCCUUUGAUUUAUGCUAGCUUUUGAUCUUCACACUAAAUAAAAAGAUUUCUUCAUUUGA
This is a long non-coding RNA of Daphnia pulex (common water flea), 2103 nucleotides long. RefSeq lists it as uncharacterized. The transcript is spliced from 5 exons. The record is from RefSeq and is a predicted model, not a curated record. Lineage: Eukaryota; Metazoa; Arthropoda; Branchiopoda; Diplostraca; Daphniidae.